UCCCUGUUACCAGGGCAGUCUAGCUAGAAAAAUACAACUAACUAUAAGGGUUGCGCUCGUUGAUGGACUUAACCAAACAUCUCACGACACGAGCUGACGACGGCCAUGUAUCACCUGUCACUGCCUUCCCGAAGGCACAAUCUCCUUUCGGAGACCUUAGCAGGAUGUCAAGCCUGGGUAAGGUUCUUCGCUUACCAUCGAAUUAAACAACACGCUCCACCGCUUGUGCGGGUCCCCGUCAAUUCCUUUAUGUUUUAGUCUUGCGACCGUACUCCACAGGCGGGAUGCUUAACGCGUUAGCUUCGCUACUACCGGGGUCGAUACCGAUAACAGCUAGCAUCCAUAGUUUACGGCGUGGACUA
Molecule: unclassified non-coding RNA, 362 nt
Filed under: uncultured bacterium
Lineage: Bacteria
Description: contains 16S-23S intergenic spacer region
Source: RNAcentral